GACGAACGCUGGCGGCGUGCUUAACACAUGCAAGUCGAACGGAAAGGCCCUGCUUUUGUGGGGUGCUCGAGUGGCGAACGGGUGAGUAACACGUGAGUAACCUGCCCUUGACUUUGGGAUAACUUCAGGAAACUGGGGCUAAUACCGGAUAGGAGCUCCUGCUGCAUGGGGGGGGCUGGAAAGUUUCGGCGGUUGGGGAUGGACUCGCGGCUUAUCAGCUUGUUGGUGGGGUAGUGGCUUACCAAGGCUUUGACGGGUAGCCGGCCUGAGAGGGUGACCGGCCACAUUGGGACUGAGAUACGGCCCAGACGCCUACGGGAGGCAGCAGUGGGGAAUAUUGCACAAUGGGCGGAAGCCUGAUGCAGCAACGCCGCGUGCGGGAUGACGGCCUUCGGGUUGUAAACCGCUUUCGCCUGUGACGAAGCGUGAGUGACGGUAAUGGGUAAAGAAGCACCGGCUAACUACGUG
This 468-nucleotide ribosomal RNA is filed under the name uncultured bacterium. RNAcentral describes it as "partial 16S ribosomal RNA". It matches the Rfam family "Bacterial small subunit ribosomal RNA", at positions 28 to 507 of the family's 1533-position model. The record is from RNAcentral.